GACGAACGCUGGCGGCGCGCCUAACACAUGCAAGUCGAACGGAGUCAAGAGGAGCUUGCUUUUCUUGACUUAGUGGCGAACGGGUGAGUAACGCGUGAGUAACCUGCCCUGGAGUGGGGGACGACAGUUGGAAACGACUGCUAAUACCGCAUAAGCCCACGGAUCUGCAUGGAUCUGCGGGAAAAGGAUUUAUUCGCUCUAGGAUGGACUCGCGUCCAAUUAGCUAGUUGGUGAGGUAACGGCCCACCAAGGCGACGAUUGGUAGCCGGACUGAGAGGUUGAACGGCCACAUUGGGACUGAGACACGGCCCAGACUCCUACGGGAGGCAGCAGUGGGGGAUAUUGCACAAUGGGGGAAACCCUGAUGCAGCGACGCCGCGUGGAGGAAGAAGGUUUUCGGAUUGUAAACUCCUGUCGUUAGGGACGAUAAGGACGGUACCUAACAAGAAAGCACCAGCUAACUACGU
RNAcentral lists this ribosomal RNA (467 nucleotides) under uncultured bacterium. RNAcentral describes it as "partial 16S ribosomal RNA". It matches the Rfam family "Bacterial small subunit ribosomal RNA", at positions 28 to 506 of the family's 1533-position model. The record is from RNAcentral.